RNAcentral lists this small RNA (125 nucleotides) under Rhizobium metallidurans. RNAcentral's name for it is "Alphaproteobacterial ar14". It matches the Rfam family "Alphaproteobacterial ar14". From Rfam's summary of the family: Smr14C2 was renamed NfeR1 (Nodule Formation Efficiency RNA) highly expressed in salt stress and during the symbiotic interaction on legume roots. The record is from Rfam by way of RNAcentral. Lineage: Bacteria; Pseudomonadati; Pseudomonadota; Alphaproteobacteria; Hyphomicrobiales; Rhizobiaceae.
GAGUUGCAGGUGGCCUUAUCCUCCUCCCAAGGGCGCCUGUGGGAAUGACAGCACUCCUCCUCCCAGCUGUCAUUCGGUUAUUUUCGAAAAGCCUGUCGCACCUCCUCCCGCGGCAGGCUUUUUCG